This is a non-coding RNA of Trichonephila clavipes, 73 nucleotides long. NCBI's taxonomy places the organism in Eukaryota, Metazoa, Arthropoda, Arachnida, Araneae, Nephilidae. The record is from the annotation of a GenBank genome assembly.
GUCCCUGUUGAGCAAUUAAUAGCCCAUUGGACUUGUAAUCCAAAGGUCGUGGGUUCGAAUCCCUCCUGGGAUG